UACGUAGGGGGCUAGCGUUAUCCGGAAUUACUGGGCGUAAAGGGUGCGUAGGUGGUUUCUUAAGUCAGAGGUGAAAGGCUACGGCUCAACCGUAGUAAGCCUUUGAAACUGGGAAACUUGAGUACCGGAGAGGUCAUCGGAAUUCCUUGUGUAGCGGUGAAAUGCGUAGAUAUAAGGAAGAACACCAGUGGCGAAGGCGGCCUACUGGGCUUUAACUGACGCUGAGGCACGAAAGCGUGGGUAGCAAA
RNAcentral lists this ribosomal RNA (248 nucleotides) under uncultured Ruminococcus sp. RNAcentral describes it as "partial 16S ribosomal RNA". It matches the Rfam family "Bacterial small subunit ribosomal RNA", at positions 524 to 772 of the family's 1533-position model. The record is from RNAcentral. Lineage: Bacteria; Bacillati; Bacillota; Clostridia; Eubacteriales; Oscillospiraceae.